This 338-nucleotide unclassified non-coding RNA is filed under the name soil metagenome. RNAcentral describes it as "partial contains 5.8S ribosomal RNA, internal transcribed spacer 2, and large subunit ribosomal RNA". The stretch from base 1 to 120 matches the Rfam family "5.8S ribosomal RNA", at positions 35 to 154 of the family's 154-position model. The record is from RNAcentral.
GAUGAAGAACGUAGCGAAAUGCGAUAAGUAAUGUGAAUUGCAGAAUUCAGUGAAUCAUCGAAUCUUUGAACGCACAUUGCGCCCGCCAGUAUUCUGGCGGGCAUGCCUGUUCGAGCGUCAUUUCAACCAUCAAGCCCUAGGCUUGCGUUGGGGCCCUGCGGCUGUCCGCAGGCUCCUAAAUACAGUGGCGGGCUCGCUAUCACACCGAGUGCAGUAGUCUUCUUUCUCGCUCAGGGCGUGUAGUGGGUGCUAGCCGUAAAACCCCCCUUAUCUCACAAGGUUGACCUCGGAUCAGGUAGGAAUACCCGCUGAACUUAAGCAUAUCAAUAAGCGGAGGA